UAUUUAGUGAACCUGAUGAUGUUGUUAUG
RNAcentral lists this non-coding RNA (29 nucleotides) under Rattus norvegicus (Norway rat). Lineage: Eukaryota; Metazoa; Chordata; Mammalia; Rodentia; Muridae. The record is from RNAcentral.